AGGCACGUAGCUCAGCGGGAGAGCACUACCUUGACACGGUAGGGGUCGGCGGUUCAAUCCCGCCCGUGCCUACCA
RNAcentral lists this transfer RNA (75 nucleotides) under Myxococcales bacterium. RNAcentral describes it as "tRNA-Val". It matches the Rfam family "tRNA". Rfam says of the family: Transfer RNA (tRNA) molecules are approximately 80 nucleotides in length. Lineage: Bacteria; Pseudomonadati; Myxococcota; Myxococcia; Myxococcales. The record is from RNAcentral.